GUGGGGAAUAUUGGACAAUGGGGGCAACCCUGAUCCAGCAAUGCCGCGUGUGUGAAGAAGGUCUUCGGAUUGUAAAGCACUUUCGACAGGGACGAUGAUGACGGUACCUGUAGAAGAAGCCCCGGCUAACUUCGUGCCAGCAGCCGCGGUAAUACGAAGGGGGCUAGCGUUGCUCGGAAUGACUGGGCGUAAAGGGCGCGUAGGCGGCCGAUCGAGUCAGAUGUGAAAUUCCUGGGCUCAACCUGGGGGCUGCAUUUGAUACUGGUUGGCUUGAGUUCGGAAGAGGGUCGUGGAAUUCCCAGUGUAGAGGUGAAAUUCGUAGAUAUUGGGAAGAACACCGGUGGCGAAGGCGGCGACCUGGUCCGAUACUGACGCUGAGGCGCGAAAGCGUGGGGAGCAAACAGG
RNAcentral lists this ribosomal RNA (405 nucleotides) under uncultured Acetobacteraceae bacterium. Its description in RNAcentral is "bacterial SSU rRNA". It matches the Rfam family "Bacterial small subunit ribosomal RNA", at positions 354 to 776 of the family's 1533-position model. Lineage: Bacteria; Pseudomonadati; Pseudomonadota; Alphaproteobacteria; Acetobacterales; Acetobacteraceae. The record is from RNAcentral.